RNAcentral lists this long non-coding RNA (1106 nucleotides) under Lathyrus oleraceus (garden pea). RNAcentral's name for it is "Pisum sativum (pea) long non-coding RNA (PSAT_LNC040108)". Lineage: Eukaryota; Viridiplantae; Streptophyta; Magnoliopsida; Fabales; Fabaceae. The record is from RNAcentral.
UAUUCUGAUAAUUAAACGAUUAACAUAAGUUAUAUAGAUUAAAAUAUAUGCUAAAAUACUAAUUAUAAGUAGAAAAUGAAAAAGAAAAAAAGAAAAAAGAGUAAUUACAAGAAAAUGAAAAAGAAAAAAAGAAAAUAGAAUAAUUACAAGACAAUGAAAAUGAGACCAUAUGUAUUAAAGGAAACAAACCCAAUCAUUUUUCUAGUGUUAAAUUAGCACCAACUUUAUUAUUGUGAGAUCCUCAUAAUCCUAACAAACAUCUCAAUCUCAUCAAAACAAUACGAAAAACCCUAUCAUAAUCAUUGGUGAUGCAAGAAUAAAAUUGAAAAUAAGAGGAAACACAGAUGAAUAGAGUGACAAAAUAAACAAGUUAGAGAAAGGUAACCUUCAAAAGAUUAACCUAUAUCAGAAAUCAAUUGUUCUGUACAUUUGAUAGAUAAGAUAGAAAAUUACUCAUAAAAGAUAGAAAAAAAAAGGAAAAUAUGACAAUUUUUCAGCAGUACGUAUUUUUUUACCCUUUGUAUUUUUUUUAUACAAUCAUAAAGUGAUUAUGAACCAGAGAUUUCUAUUAAAUAUUGUAAGCUAAAUAUUUAUAUUAAGUAAAUCCUCAAUUAUAUAAAUCAAUCAAAAAUUUAGUGAGUAACAAACCUUGAAAUUAAUUAAUUUAGAAUGAUAUGUAUUGAACAUCAAAAUUAAUUAAAUAUAUACUUAUAUCCUAAAGAACAUAAAAUGUCAUCUUUUAUAUUCUGAUAAUUAAACGAUUAACAUAAGUUAUAUAGAUUAAAAAAUAUGCUAAAAUACUAAUUAUAAGUAGAAAAAGAAAAAGAAAAAAAGAAAAAAGAAUAAUUACAAGAAAAUGAAAAAGAAAAAAAGAAAAAUGAAUAAUUACAAGACAAUGAAAAUGAGACCGUAUAUAUUAAAGGAAACCAACCCAAUCAUUUAUCUAGUGUUACAUUAGCACUAACUUUAUUAUUGUGAGAUCCUCAUAAUCCUAACAAACAUCUUAAUCUCAUCAAAACAAUAUGAAAAACCCUAUCAUAAUCAAUGGUGAUGCAAGAAUAAAAUUGAAAAUAAGAGGAAACACAGAUGAAUAGAGUGACAAAAUA